Carya illinoinensis is the source of this 3237-nucleotide RNA transcript. It is a transcript of the gene named two-component response regulator ORR21-like, with no coding region annotated. The record is from RefSeq and is a predicted model, not a curated record. Lineage: Eukaryota; Viridiplantae; Streptophyta; Magnoliopsida; Fagales; Juglandaceae. The transcript has 7 exons.
CCGUCAAUAAUAUAUGACAACAUUUUUCUUUUUUAUUUUAAAUGUCGCAUUGGCUCUGUUUCUCUGUCCCUUUCUCUACGUUGCUUUUUGUUCAAUUCCACUUUUUCUCGAUCACCAAAACCCCCUGCAAACCAUGUAAACUAUGAACAUAGAAUCCAAACCAGAAAUUCCCUCAUUUUCUCCUGGGGAUUGUUACUGUUUAUUUUGCCUUCCCUGGCUUUCUGGCGGAUUCGAGGGCUCGCUGUACCAGAUCUAGCUCCGAUUGACCAUCGGUAUGCUGAAUCCGAGCUCUUUAAGGGGCACAAAGUGGAGCCAGAAAGCAAUAGAGUAGGGUUUAUUUGCUGAGUGCUUGAGGGGCCGUGAGUGUGAGUGUUUGGUUGUGGUUGCUACUUGUCGGCUAUGCAGAGAGUGGCACAGUCGAGCUUGAGCACGAGCGUUGCGGGCAGCUACGGCUCGUUUAAGGGCGGCGGCGGUUCUGGUUCUGGCUCUGCUGCUCAAGUUAUGGUGUACGAGCAUUUCCCAGCGGGCCUGAGGGUUCUCGUGGUCGACGACGACGUCACUUGCCUGAGGAUUAUCGAGCAGAUGCUCCACCGUUGCCGUUACCAUGUUACAACUUGUUCUGAGGCUGCUGUUGCUUUGAAUCACCUACGGGAGAGGAAAGGGUGUUUUGAUGUAGUACUGAGUGAUGUACAUAUGCCUGAUAUGGAUGGUUAUAAACUUCUAGAGCACGUUGGACUAGAAAUGGAUCUUCCUGUUAUUAUGAUGUCUGCUGAUGGGAGAACAAGUGCUGUAAUGAAAGGAAUCAGACAUGGGGCUUGUGAUUAUUUGAUUAAGCCUAUACGUGAGGAAGAGCUCAAAAAUAUAUGGCAGCAUGUUGUGCGAAAAAAGUGGAAUGAAAAUAAAGAACUUGAAAAUUCCAGCAGCCUAGAAGAGAAUGACCGCCAUAAACGAGGAAAUGAUGAUGCUGAAUAUGCUUCCUCUGCUAAUGAAGGAGCAGAGGGAAUACUGAAAGCUCAGAAAAAAAGGGGCAAUGCUAAAGAUGAAGAUGAUGGGGCGUUGGAAAAUGACGAUCCAUCCACAUCAAAGAAACCACGUGUGGUAUGGUCUGUAGAACUCCAUCAGCAAUUUGUCAGUGCUGUGAACCAACUUGGGCUCGAUAAGGCUGUACCAAAGCGAAUUUUGGAAUUGAUGAAUGUACCUGGUUUAACUAGAGAAAAUGUUGCUAGCCAUUUACAGAAAUUUAGGCUAUACUUGAAGAGAUUAAGUGGAGUAGCUCAACAACAAAGUGGAAUUUCUAAUACCAUCUGUGGGCCUGUGGAGCCAAAUGUGAAAUUGGGUUCACUUGGACGAUUUGACAUCCAAGCUUUGGCUGCUUCUGGCCAAAUUCCCCCACAAACACUUGCAGCCCUGCAUGCUGAGCUUUUAGGUCGACCAACAGGUAACCUAAUUCCAGCAAUGGAUCAGCCUGCUCUUCUACAAGCUUUGUUACAAGGACCCAAGCAUUUGCCUAUUGAACAUGGCGUGGCAUUUGGUCAGCCUUUAAUAAAAUGCCAAUCUAACAUUUCAAAACACCUCCAGCAAUCGAAACUUUCUUCUGUUGAGGAUGUCUCCUCUGGAUUCGGAGCAUGGACAUCUAAUAAUCUUGGUACAGUGGGACCUAGUAACAAUCUGGUUGGGCUGAGUGCUCAGAAUAGCAACAUGUUGAUGGAUAUAUUGCAGCAGCAGCAACAAGAAUCACAGCAGCAGUCUAUGCUUCCUGAAUCGAGCUGUUUAAUCAACGUGCAGCCGUCUUGCUUAGUGGUCCCCUCUCAAUCAUCUGCCAAUUUGCAGGCAGGAAAUAAUACUGCUUCAGUCAGUCAGAAUUGCUACUUUAACGAGAGUUCUGUUAUUGACUACAGUCUUCUCUCUCAGUCAAAUAAUUCCUCAUUGAAUAUUCGGGAAUUCCCUAAUGGGGCUCUGAACACUACAGGUGUGCUUAGUGGCUACUCAGCCCCAGGUUCCAUUUCAUCUUCUGUGUCGUCUAGCUCUGUAAAUGCCGAUAACAGCAUGGGUCGGCAUGGUCAAAGCUUGAGCAUUACAUUCAGUGCUGCCAGACAGUUGCCAGGACUUGUUCCUAAUAUUCAUGAUAUUCAGGGUUCCUAUAUCUCGAAAACUGGUGAAAUGCUUGAUCAAGGACCUCUUAGGAAUCUUGGAUUUGCUGGUAAAGGGACUUGCAUUCCAAGUCGAUUUGCAGUAGAUGAAUUUGAAUCACCAAUGAGCAACUUGGGCCAUGGAAAAUUAUAUGUAGAGAACAGCAGAGUGAAGCAGGAGCCAAAUGUCGAUUUUAUGGAUAGCACAAAAGUGGGCAUCCCUAUAUUACACCAAUUUUCGUCCAAUGAUGUCACGAGUGUUUUUACAGAAUAGGUACUUGUGUUAUGAGGAAGAAAAAAGAAGUGUACUGACUGUCACAGACUAGCUUUCCACAAUAGCUCUGGCAAAAAUGCCCGACAUAUUCUCUUGCUUAAGAAACCGCACCUGUUGCAAAUUCAAAUCAGACGAGGGAGAGAUAGAGGUGCUUCCCACUUUUUAUUAAGCUUGGGAAUCGUGAAGAAUGGUAUACCAUGAAGGCGUAACUUGGAUAUAUUCAUGAAUUGAGUGUAAGAGUAAGAACUCCGGAGUUGUAUGGUGAUUAACACUAAUUGCACGGACGUAUGAGCAAUGUUUUGAAUACUAUACCGGAUGUUGUACCAGUCAAGGCAAGGAGCACACAGGAAGAGAUGAAGAGGAAGGUCUUGAUGAAUACAUGCGGAAGUGCGUUUCCCUUGAAGUUGCAUGCUGAAUCUUAGAAAGUUUAGAGAGCUUGCAUGCUAUAAUAUGCACAAUUUGGGUUAUUUAUUCUAUAGCGAUUACAAUUGUAAGCUUGAAUGACACUGUGGGGUUUAGUUUUGAGUUCAAAACCUUGAUGGCCCUUGAAAUGGUAUACAAAUGUCUUACUUCGUCUUAGGUCUUAAAAUGAGUGAUUUUAUUGGCUUGGGUCCCUGCUUGUUAAUUUGUAUAGGUGAGAGGUUGAAACAAUUCUUUGAGGAAGGUCCUUUGACACAUGAAGCCUAACCAUGUAUGAAAGUAUACGGCUCUUUAAUGGCAUUGUUGAUGUGAAGUAAUGCUCAGGUGUUGAGACAUGAAUAAUUGAGGAAUCAAAGUUGGGUGUCCCGUAUCAUGUGUGUUGAGGAUUAUCUGAAAACACUACGUUCCUAGCAA